GGCUAUUUGCACAGUUACUGCAGAAGUGUUCACUUGCCUUUCCAGACACCAGCGGUAUGUGUGGAGGCGGCCUGGACGAACCCUGCAGAGGAGACAUCUACGACUUUUCUCCAUGCCGUGACCCCCUGCCGAGGAGCGUAAACGCACGAAAAUGAUAAACCAGGCUGUAGACCCUGCGAUUCCUAUAAAGGGGGCCCCAGACACUCUGACCCUGGCAGCCUGGGGC
This 226-nucleotide long non-coding RNA is filed under the name Felis catus (domestic cat). RNAcentral's name for it is "lncRNA (ENSFCAG00000053148.1)". Lineage: Eukaryota; Metazoa; Chordata; Mammalia; Carnivora; Felidae. The record is from RNAcentral.